GAAGGCUUUCGGGUCGUAAAACUCUGUUGUUAGGGAAGAACAAGUACGAGAGUAACUGCUCGUACCUUGACGGUACCUAACCAGAAAGCCACGGCUAACUACGUGCCAGCAGCCGCGGUAAUACGUAGGUGGCAAGCGUUAUCCGGAAUUAUUGGGCGUAAAGCGCGCGCAGGCGGUUUCUUAAGUCUGAUGUGAAAGCCCACGGCUCAACCGUGGAGGGUCAUUGGAAACUGGGGAACUUGAGUGCAGAAGAGAAAAGCGGAAUUCCACGUGUAGCGGUGAAAUGCGUAGAGAUGUGGAGGAACACCAGUGGCGAAGGCGGCUUUUUGGUCUGUAACUGACGCUGAGGCGCGAAAGCGU
This 360-nucleotide ribosomal RNA is filed under the name Priestia megaterium. Its description in RNAcentral is "bacterial SSU rRNA". It matches the Rfam family "Bacterial small subunit ribosomal RNA", at positions 410 to 762 of the family's 1533-position model. The record is from RNAcentral. Lineage: Bacteria; Bacillati; Bacillota; Bacilli; Caryophanales; Bacillaceae.